Molecule: long non-coding RNA, 699 nt
Organism: Ictalurus punctatus (channel catfish)
Lineage: Eukaryota; Metazoa; Chordata; Actinopteri; Siluriformes; Ictaluridae
Source: Ensembl
CCACCAACCAAGCACACCACACUACAUCACACCACACAGGCCCCCCAGUCUCACACACACACACACACACACACACACACACACACACACACAGAGCCCUAAUCACGUCUGAAAACGCCUUUCCACUGCCAGUGAAGCUGAAAAUAUCUUCAUAAACAAGUCUCUUCACAUGGAGCUGUAAGGUGCUGUGGCCUUCAGGCAGAGACAGAGGCUCCUUCACAUUCUUCCACUCUUCUGUGAGAUGCAGGGUCAAACGGAGUGCAGGAUGUCACUAAAGAGAAAAAAAGAGAAAGAUCAGAAAAAACAGCCACCCAGUGAGAGAGAGAGAAAGAGAGAGAGGUGGGGGAAGAGAGGAUGGAAGUCUAAAACUAGUCCAUCUAGUUCCUCUGUGUCAAUAUGGUUGUCGUUCCAUUACCUCAGUGUACCAGAACAUCUUAUCUCUCUCUCUGUACCAUGUCUUCUGUCUGUUCUCAUUUAUGUCUUUGGUCACUUUUUUUCCUCUCAUGCUUUCUACAUACAUUUCUGAUCUAACCUGAAAACACAAAAAAAGGCAUAUUUAGCCUCUGUAUUGACAUUUGUAUUGUACAAUGUAGCCUUGUAGAAAAGUCACAUAAGCUUCACAUGUUAACAAUCAUGUUCCACAUGUGCAGUUUCAGAGCAUAAAUCUUUUUCACAUGAUCAAUUAAAUAAUCGCAUGCG